This 1111-nucleotide ribosomal RNA is filed under the name Vibrio sp. 819M. RNAcentral describes it as "bacterial SSU rRNA". It matches the Rfam family "Bacterial small subunit ribosomal RNA", at positions 384 to 1488 of the family's 1533-position model. The record is from RNAcentral. Lineage: Bacteria; Pseudomonadati; Pseudomonadota; Gammaproteobacteria; Vibrionales; Vibrionaceae.
UGAUGCGCCAUGCCGCGUGUAUGAAGAAGGCCUUCGGGUUGUAAAGUACUUUCAGUUGUGAGGAAGGGGGUAGCGUUAAUAGCGCUAUCUCUUGACGUUAGCAACAGAAGAAGCACCGGCUAACUCCGUGCCAGCAGCCGCGGUAAUACGGAGGGUGCGAGCGUUAAUCGGAAUUACUGGGCGUAAAGCGCAUGCAGGUGGUUCAUUAAGUCAGAUGUGAAAGCCCGGGGCUCAACCUCGGAACUGCAUUUGAAACUGGUGAACUAGAGUACUGUAGAGGGGGGUAGAAUUUCAGGUGUAGCGGUGAAAUGCGUAGAGAUCUGAAGGAAUACCAGUGGCGAAGGCGGCCCCCUGGACAGAUACUGACACUCAGAUGCGAAAGCGUGGGGAGCAAACAGGAUUAGAUACCCUGGUAGUCCACGCCGUAAACGAUGUCUACUUGGAGGUUGUGGCCUUGAGCCGUGGCUUUCGGAGCUAACGCGUUAAGUAGACCGCCUGGGGAGUACGGUCGCAAGAUUAAAACUCAAAUGAAUUGACGGGGGCCCGCACAAGCGGUGGAGCAUGUGGUUUAAUUCGAUGCAACGCGAAGAACCUUACCUACUCUUGACAUCCAGAGAAGCCAGCGGAGACGCAGGUGUGCCUUCGGGAGCUCUGAGACAGGUGCUGCAUGGCUGUCGUCAGCUCGUGUUGUGAAAUGUUGGGUUAAGUCCCGCAACGAGCGCAACCCUUAUCCUUGUUUGCCAGCGAGUAAUGUCGGGAACUCCAGGGAGACUGCCGGUGAUAAACCGGAGGAAGGUGGGGACGACGUCAAGUCAUCAUGGCCCUUACGAGUAGGGCUACACACGUGCUACAAUGGCGCAUACAGAGGGCAGCAAGCUAGCGAUAGUGAGCGAAUCCCAAAAAGUGCGUCGUAGUCCGGAUUGGAGUCUGCAACUCGACUCCAUGAAGUCGGAAUCGCUAGUAAUCGUAGAUCAGAAUGCUACGGUGAAUACGUUCCCGGGCCUUGUACACACCGCCCGUCACACCAUGGGAGUGGGCUGCAAAAGAAGUGGGUAGUUUAACCUUUCGGGGAGGACGCUCACCACUUUGUGGUCAUGACUGGGUGAUGUCU